Molecule: transfer RNA, 74 nt
Rfam family: tRNA
About the family: Transfer RNA (tRNA) molecules are approximately 80 nucleotides in length. Their secondary structure includes four short double-helical elements and three loops (D, anti-codon, and T loops). Further hydrogen bonds mediate the characteristic L-shaped molecular structure. tRNAs have two regions of fundamental functional importance: the anti-codon, which is responsible for specific mRNA codon recognition, and the 3' end, to which the tRNAs corresponding amino acid is attached (by aminoacyl-tRNA synthetases). tRNAs cope with the degeneracy of the genetic code in two manners: having more than one tRNA (with a specific anti-codon) for a particular amino acid; and 'wobble' base-pairing, i.e. permitting non-standard base-pairing at the 3rd anti-codon position.
CACUGGAUAGCUCAGCUGGGUAGAGCAACGGACUUGUAAUCCGUCAGUCGCGGGUUCGAAUCCCGCUCCACGCU